RNAcentral lists this transfer RNA (78 nucleotides) under Abditibacteriota bacterium. RNAcentral describes it as "tRNA-Pro". It matches the Rfam family "tRNA". Rfam says of the family: Transfer RNA (tRNA) molecules are approximately 80 nucleotides in length. Their secondary structure includes four short double-helical elements and three loops (D, anti-codon, and T loops). Lineage: Bacteria; Pseudomonadati; Abditibacteriota. The record is from RNAcentral.
CGGGGUGUAGCGCAGCUUGGUUAGCGCGUCGGUUUUGGGAACCGAAGGUCGGGGGUUCAAAUCCCCCCACCCCGACCA